RNAcentral lists this ribosomal RNA (253 nucleotides) under uncultured bacterium. Its description in RNAcentral is "partial small subunit ribosomal RNA". It matches the Rfam family "Bacterial small subunit ribosomal RNA", at positions 26 to 285 of the family's 1533-position model. The record is from RNAcentral.
AGGACGAACGCUGGCGGCGUGCUUAACACAUGCAAGUCGAGCGGAAAGGCCCUUCGGGUACUCGAGCGGCGAACGGGUGAGUAACACGUGAGCAACCUGCCCUUAGCUUCGGGAUAGCUCCGGGAAACCGGAAUUAAUACCGAAUAUGACUUUGGCUGACAUCAGCAGAAGUGGAAAGUUUUUCGGCUAGGGAUGGACUCGCGGCCUAUCAGCUAGUUGGUGAGGUAACGGCCCACCAAGGCGACGACGGGUA